Molecule: ribosomal RNA, 510 nt
Filed under: uncultured euryarchaeote
Lineage: Archaea; Methanobacteriati; Methanobacteriota
Description: bacterial SSU rRNA
Rfam family: Archaeal small subunit ribosomal RNA
Source: RNAcentral
AGUGUGAUAAGGGAACCCUAAGUGCUCAUGCAUUGCAUGGGCUUUUGCUAAGAGUAAAUAUCUUGGAGAAUAAGUGGUGGGUAAGACUGGUGCCAGCCGCCGCGGUAACACCAGCGCCACAAGUGGCAACCGCGUUUAUUGGGCCUAAAGCGUCCGUAGCCGGUUAAGUAAAUCUCUUGUGAAAUCGUUAGGCUCAACCUAACGGCGCGCAUGAGACACUGCUUAACUAGAGACCGGGAGGAGUCAGAGGUAUUUCACGGGGAGCGGUAAAAUGUGAUAAUCCGUGGAAGAUCACCUAUGGCGAAGGCAUCUGACCAGAACGGAUCUGACGGUCAGGGACGAAGGCUAGGGGAGCGAUCCGGAUUAGAUACUCGAGUAGUCCUAGCAGUAAACGCUGUGAGCUAGAUGUUGCGUUUCUCACGAGGAUGCGCAGUAUCGAAAGGAAGCUGUUUAGCUCACCGCCUGGGAAGUACGGUCGCAAGUGUGAUAAAGUGUGAUAAAGUGUGAUAA